UGGGGAAUUUUGGACAAUGGGCGAAAGCCUGAUCCAGCCAUGCCGCGUGCAGGAUGAAGGCCUUCGGGUUGUAAACUGCUUUUGUACGGAACGAAAAGACUCUGGUUAAUACCUGGGGUCCAUGACGGUACCGUAAGAAUAAGCACCGGCUAACUACGUGCCAGCAGCCGCGGUAAUACGUAGGGUGCAAGCGUUAAUCGGAAUUACUGGGCGUAAAGCGUGCGCAGGCGGUUAUAUAAGACAGAUGUGAAAUCCCCGGGCUCAACCUGGGAACUGCAUUUGUGACUGUAUAGCUAGAGUACGGCAGAGGGGAAUGGAAUUCCGCGUGUAGCAGUGAAAUGCGUAGAUAUGCGGAGGAACACCGAUGGCGAAGGCAAUCCCCUGGGCCUGUACUGACGCUCAUGCACGAAAGCGUGGGGAGCAAACAGGAUUAGAUACCCUGGUAGUCCACGCCCUAAACGAUGUCAACUGGUUGUUGGGUCUUCACUGACUCAGUAACGAAGCUAACGCGUGAAGUUGACCGCCUGGGGAGUACGGCCGCAAGGUUG
This 548-nucleotide ribosomal RNA is filed under the name uncultured bacterium. RNAcentral's name for it is "bacterial SSU rRNA". It matches the Rfam family "Bacterial small subunit ribosomal RNA", at positions 355 to 896 of the family's 1533-position model. The record is from RNAcentral.